Molecule: microRNA precursor, 159 nt
Filed under: Daucus carota subsp. sativus
Lineage: Eukaryota; Viridiplantae; Streptophyta; Magnoliopsida; Apiales; Apiaceae
Description: sRNA DCAR_mi00180
Source: RNAcentral
GCACGGACUUUAAUGCUCCCAUAAAGUAUAGUUCUGUAACUUAUUUUUAAGAUUUUUCUUUUUUGUAUAAAAAUUUGAAUGUUAUACUUUUAUUUGGAAAAAGAAAAUUUUAAAAAUAAGUUAUAGAGCUAUGUUUUAUAAGAGCAUUGAAGUGCGUGU